Molecule: ribosomal RNA, 433 nt
Filed under: uncultured bacterium
Lineage: Bacteria
Description: partial 16S ribosomal RNA
Rfam family: Bacterial small subunit ribosomal RNA
Source: RNAcentral
AACGAACGCUGGCGGCAUGCCUAACACAUGCAAGUCGAACGAGACCUUCGGGUCUAGUGGCGCACGGGUGCGUAACGCGUGGGAACCUGCCCUUAGGUUCGGAAUAACUCCCCGAAAGGGGUGCUAAUACCGGAUAAUGUCUUCGAACCAAAGAUUUAUCGCCUUUGGAUGGGCCCGCGUUGGAUUAGCUAGUUGGUAGGGUAAAAGCCUACCAAGGCGACGAUCCAUAGCUGGUCUGAGAGGAUGAUCAGACACACUGGGACUGAGACACGGCCCAGACUCCUACGGGAGGCAGCAGUGGGGAAUAUUGGACAAUGGGCGAAAGCCUGAUCCAGCAAUGCCGCGUGAGUGAUGAAGGCCUUAGGGUUGUAAAGCUCUUUUACCCGGGAUGAUAAUGACAGUACUGGGAGAAUAAGCUCCGGCUAACUCCGUG